AGAGUUUGAUCCUGGCUCAGGAUGAACGCUGGCGGCGUGCUUAACACAUGCAAGUCGAACGAUCCUUCGGGAUAGUGGCGGACGGGUGAGUAACGCGUGGGAAUCUGCCCUCAGGAGGGGGAUAACGGCUGGAAACGGCCGCUAAUACCCCAUAUGCCGAGAGGUGAAAUGAAUUUCGCCUGAGGAUGAGCCCGCGUCUGAUUAGCUAGUUGGUGGGGUAAUGGCUUACCAAGGCAACGAUCAGUAGCUGGUCUGAGAGGAUGAUCAGCCACACUGGGACUGAGACACGGCCCAGACUCCUACGGGAGGCAGCAGUGGGGAAUUUUCCGCAAUGGGCGAAAGCCUGACGGAGCAACGCCGCGUGAGGGAUGAAGGCCUCUGGGCUGUAAACCUCUUUUCUCAAGGAAGAAGACCUGACGGUACUUGAGGAAUAAGCCACGGCUAAUUCCGUGCCAGCAGCCGCGGUAAUACGGGAGUGGCAAGCGUUAUCCGGAAUUAUUGGGCGUAAAGCGUCCGCAGGCGGCCUUGUAAGUCUGUUGUUAAAGCGUGGAGCUCAACUCCAUUUAAGCAAUGGAAACUACAAGGCUGGAGUGUGGUAGGGGCAGAGGGAAUUCCCGGUGUAGCGGUGAAAUGCGUAGAUAUCGGGAAGAACACCAGUGGCGAAGGCGCUCUGCUGGGCCAUAACUGACGCUCAUGGACGAAAGCCAGGGGAGCGAAAGGGAUUAGAUACCCCUGUAGUCCUGGCCGUAAACGAUGAACACUAGGUGUCGGGGGAAUCGACCCCCUCGGUGUCGUAGCCAACGCGUUAAGUGUUCCGCCUGGGGAGUACGCACGCAAGUGUGAAACUCAAAGGAAUUGACGGGGGCCCGCACAAGCGGUGGAGUAUGUGGUUUAAUUCGAUGCAACGCGAAGAACCUUACCAGGGUUUGACAUUCUGCGAACCCCUGAGAAAUCGGGGGGUGCCUUCGGGAGCGCAGAGACAGGUGGUGCAUGGCUGUCGUCAGCUCGUGUCGUGAGAUGUUGGGUUAAGUCCCGCAACGAGCGCAACCCACGUCUUUAGUUGCCAGCAUUCAGUUGGGCACUCUAGAGAGACCGCCGGUGAUAAACCGGAGGAAGGUGUGGAUGACGUCAAGUCAUCAUGCCCCUUACAUCCUGGGCUACACACGUACUACAAUGCUACGGACAAAGGGCAGCAAGCUCGCGAGAGUUAGCAAAUCCCAUAAACCGUGGCUCAGUUCAGAUCGUAGGCUGCAACUCGCCUACGUGAAGGAGGAAUCGCUAGUAAUCGCAGGUCAGCAUACUGCGGUGAAUACGUUCCCGGGCCUUGUACACACUGCCCGUCACACCAUGGAAGUUGGCCAUGCCCGAAGUCGUUACUCCAACCCUUGUGGAGGAGGACGCCGAAGGUGGGGCUGAUGACUGGGGUGAAGCC
RNAcentral lists this ribosomal RNA (1432 nucleotides) under metagenome. RNAcentral describes it as "bacterial SSU rRNA". It matches the Rfam family "Bacterial small subunit ribosomal RNA". The record is from RNAcentral.